GAUGAACGCUGGCGGCGUGCUUAACACAUGCAAGUCGAACGAUGACUUUUGUGCUUGCACAAAAUGAUUAGUGGCGAACGGGUGAGUAACACGUGAGUAACCUGCCCUUAACUUCGGGAUAAGCCUGGGAAACUGGGUCUAAUACCGGAUACGACCUCCUGACGCAUGUCAUGGGGGUGGAAAGCUUGAUGCGGUUUUGGAUGGACUCGCGGCCUAUCAGCUAGUUGGUUGGGGUAAUGGCCCACCAAGGCGACGACGGGUAGCCGGCCUGAGAGGGUGACCGGCCACACUGGGACUGAGACACGGCCCAGACUCCUACGGGAGGCAGCAGUGGGGAAUAUUGCACAAUGGGCGAAAGCCUGAUGCAGCGACGCCGCGUGAGGGACGAAGGCCUUCGGGUUGUAAACCUCUUUCAGCAGGGAAGAAGCGAAAGUGACGGUACCUGCAGAAGAAGCGCCGGCUAACUACGUGCCAGCAGCCGCGGUAAUACGUAGGGCGCAAGCGUUAUCCGGAAUUAUUGGGCGUAAAGAGCUCGUAGGCGGUUUGUCGCGUCUGCUGUGAAAGCCCGGGGCUCAACCCCGGGUCUGCAGUGGGUACGGGCAGACUAGAGUGCAGUAGGGGAGACUGGAAUUCCUGGUGUAGCGGUGAAAUGCGCAGAUAUCAGGAGGAACACCGAUGGCGAAGGCAGGUCUCUGGGCUGUAACUGACGCUGAGGAGCGAAAGCAUGGGGAGCGAACAGGAUUAGAUACCCUGGUAGUCCAUGCCGUAAACGUUGGGCACUAGGUGUGGGGGACAUUCCACGUUUUCC
This 808-nucleotide ribosomal RNA is filed under the name uncultured bacterium. Its description in RNAcentral is "bacterial SSU rRNA". It matches the Rfam family "Bacterial small subunit ribosomal RNA", at positions 28 to 842 of the family's 1533-position model. The record is from RNAcentral.